UCUCUUUCCCAGCAUUUCUGCGAUUCUGUCUCGUAAUUUUGCAGCGUGUAGGUUUUUUAAACGUUCGUUUUUGAUCGAUGUCCAUGAGAGAUUCGACCACCAAUGCAAAAAUUUGUCGAAUCUCUUAUAGACAUGAUCAAGACGAACGUUUUCAGACCAAUUUUCGUUGAGAUUUUAAGUUGAGAAAACUUUAAAGCAAGUUCAGCUUCUUGAUUGGAUCUCGAUGUUGAAGUUACGGUCCAGUCAAUCAUCUUUACAAACUUGCGAUAUUCAAUUUGCCAGUGUCACUCGCCUGAUUUUGACUAUUUCGGAUAUUUUAGGCCCUUUUAUCGCUGGCACAUCUCAAUUUAUCACACUCAUACUUCAUUGUGUUUUUCCAAUUUUCUUCAAUUGUCUAGUUGUGAUUUCAGUACUUGAAUAACAUUAAGGGCUGUUAGUCAAGCAAACGCACUCUGUCCCAAAACCGUGUUUGACGCAAAUGUUUUGAGGCAAUUUCUUCGUUUGCGAUAGUAGUGGAGUUUCUGAAACUCCGGUUUCAGAUACUCCAAUCCAGCAAACUCGCCCAUAUGGUUUGUUUUGAUUGGUAGCCUUAUUGGGCACAUUGUUGGAGUACAAAUCACUUUGUAUGAUUCAAGAAUGAAUGAUAAUGUUAGAUUGAAAUUUCUCCCUGAUCUGAAGCGAGGUUUAUAUCUGAACCUCUGGGAGAGAACACGGACUACCAUUGCAUGCCAUUUCCUAUGGGGCUAUUCUGAUCUUGAAUUCUAGGAAUAAUGAAGUGAAAUUGACUGAUACGAUAACUUUAGAUCAACGGAGAAGUUGCAGUGAAUGGAUAAGUGACAAAUAGGAGCAGACAUUAGAUGUCCUUUUCAAGUUUUUCUGGACUUUCAGCAAUUUUAACUAGAUGAUGAUAUCUUUGUGAAAGUGAGUUAAGGGAUCAUGUUUGAAUACUACAUGCUGAAUCAUUUGAACAUGAUGUGGUAGAUAGAAUGUGUUGGAACAUGAUUGUUGUGCUCCUAAGAUCGUAAAAUUUAAGAUGUUAUUGUUGCCAAUGUACACAUGAAUUCAGAAGCAGCAACAGAAGAGGCUUUCCUAGAAGGGUUACUACUUACCAUUGAUGAUCUUACCUUCCCUCAGGUUACAAGCACAUGCUCCAAUCCACAUAUAAUUGAAAAAUUUAACAUGUUUAUUAUCUUCGUUUCAAUAUAUGAUUUGGGCUUGCAAA
This is a long non-coding RNA of Prosopis cineraria, 1222 nucleotides long. RefSeq lists it as uncharacterized. The transcript has 2 exons. The record is from RefSeq and is a predicted model, not a curated record. NCBI's taxonomy places the organism in Eukaryota, Viridiplantae, Streptophyta, Magnoliopsida, Fabales, Fabaceae.